GUUGGCCCAACUGAUUGGACGUGCUUGCACGGACUUGACGUUGGUUUACCAGCGAGUGGCGGACGGGUGAGUAACACGUAGGUAACCUGCCCCAAAGCGGGGGAUAACAUUUGGAAACAGAUGCUAAUACCGCAUAACAAUUUGAAUCGCAUGAUCCAAAUUUAAAAGAUGGUUUCGGCUAUCACUUUGGGAUGGACCUGCGGCGCAUUAGCUUGUUGGUAGGGUAACGGCCUACCAAGGCUGUGAUGCGUAGCCGAGUUGAGAGACUGAUCGGCCACAAUGGAACUGAGACACGGUCCAUACUCCUACGGGAGGCAGCAGUAGGGAAUCUUCCACAAUGGGCGCAAGCCUGAUGGAGCAACACCGCGUGAGUGAAGAAGGGUUUCGGCUCGUAAAGCUCUGUUGUUAGAGAAGAACGUGCGUGAGAGCAACUGUUCACGCAGUGACGGUAUCUAACCAGAAAGUCACGGCUAACUACGUGCCAGCAGCCGCGGUAAUACGUAGGUGGCAAGCGUUAUCCGGAUUUAUUGGGCGUAAAGCGAGCGCAGGCGGUUUGAUAAGUCUGAUGUGAAAGCCUUUGGCUUAACCAAAGAAGUGCAUCGGAAACUGUCAGACUUGAGUGCAGAAGAGGACAGUGGAACUCCAUGUGUAGCGGUGGAAUGCGUAGAUAUAUGGAAGAACACCAGUGGCGAAGGCG
Molecule: ribosomal RNA, 697 nt
Filed under: uncultured Bacilli bacterium
Lineage: Bacteria; Bacillati; Bacillota; Bacilli
Description: bacterial SSU rRNA
Rfam family: Bacterial small subunit ribosomal RNA
Source: RNAcentral